Molecule: long non-coding RNA, 1858 nt
Organism: Canis lupus familiaris (dog)
Lineage: Eukaryota; Metazoa; Chordata; Mammalia; Carnivora; Canidae
Exons: 3
Source: RefSeq, a predicted model, not a curated record
AAGCCUGCAGUCACCUCUGCACGGCCCGCCGACUGUUGCAUUAUUCAUGAGUGCCGCAGAUCGCGCCCCCUAUGGGCCUGGAGAAGCACACAGUCACCGCCCCGAUGUGCUGCAUAUUCAUGAAGCGUGGAUGGCCCCACCUCUCAAGGCACCAGAGGGGGCCACUUCCGUGCCGGGACUCCGCCCCGACACGCGCACACCUUCAGGCCCCGCCUCUAUAUGCAUAAUUCAUGACCCUGGCUCAGCCAGGCGAGGGUCGAAGCCACACCCCACUGGCCGCUGACGUGAUGCAUUAUUUAUGAGGUCUCUCCAAGCCUUCCGUCCCUGGUUUCUGUCGAGAGCCGUAGCCAGUGCGUGAAGGGGGCGGGGCUGGUGCAAAACACGUGGGGGGCGGGGCCGCUAAUAGCCGGUGAGUGGGCGUGGCUAUGCAAACCGAGCGCGCGUUGGACGCUGGAUUGGACUAGUGGAGCUUCCCGUAAGGAAGAAGUCUAUUUUGCUACCCCAGCAGGAUGAAGGAUGAUUUUCUCCUGGCCGAGCCGAUGAUAACCUGCCACCACUCAGCCAAUGAGAAACUGUCACUACCUUGAACUCUUGCUUUCCUCCAAAUGAGACCCUCCCAAAUUCCUCCUUUUCUGUAAGGAGCUGAGAGAUUUUAUCAAUCUCUGAUCCUAUCAGUGGGGGAACUGAGGCUGGAAACAGCACUGACUUGCCCAGGCAAGCUUCUCUUGGACUCCUGGGUCUCCUAAUCUACAGGAAGUUCAUGACUUUUCUCUUUCCCUUCAAUCUAAUUACAAACAGUAACCAUAGGAUGAAGAUUUUGAGCUAAGAGAGGAAAGUGAAGUUCAAAGACCUUGUUAUAUCGCUACCAAAGUGACCUCCUUAGUUCUGCUCACCACUGCCAAGUUGGCACUAUUAUCCAUUGAUCCUCUAACCAUAAACUGCUGAGCCCGAGGCAAUGCUAGAUUUCUUGAAACACUCUCCCAUACCUGCCGUUAAUAUCUCCAUUUACAAAAGGUGAAACUAAGAGAUGUGAGGCAGCACUCAAGGGCAGUGGCACCGCCGGCGAGCAGGCUGGCUGGAACUUGAAUUUAAUAUCUUUCUGACCCAGAACCCUCCUGAUUAGGCACCUGGGUCCCUUUCCCUAUAUUUCCUCAUUGAACACCCUCAGCACAGGACCUAGCAUGGAGUAGGUGCUCAGGAAAUGUGUUGAAUGAAUAAAUGACAUUUAAUUCUCACAACACAGCUAUCAGCCCAUUUUGUAGAUGAGGAGAAUGAGACUUAGAAAGGUUUCACAUCCAGCCUGCCUAAGCCUAGGGUCAAGGCUCUGGAAUCCUCUAUCCUUCACCUGGGAUCAGUCCUUCCUACCUGGAAGAUGCUAGCACUUGCUCAGACACACUGAGCCCUCUGCCCACUGUCUGGGCCCAGCGGUUUACCCAGGAGCUAGGCCAGGUAAAUAUUGGAGCAAGAAGGACUGCACUGCCCAGAGGGAUCACAGAAGGGCAGGAUUAGGUGAGGCAUGGGCAGUCUGGAGUGAAUGAUGGGGAGGAUAGAGACAGCUGGACUGCUGAAUGGAGAACAUGGGAGGAGCCAGCUUUGAAGGCUGACCAGCUCACUGUAUGACUUUGGGAAAGGCAUGACCCCUUUCUGAGCCUCUGUGGAUUUAGCUCACAGACAACAGUAGUAACACUGAGUGCUUAAAAUGCCCCCAGCUCUGGGUUCAGUGCUUGGCAUCCAGGAUUACCUUCUGGAAACUGAGGCUUGAAGAGAAGAUAAUUAAGAACAGGGGCACCUGGCUGGCUCAGUAGGGGGAACAUGAAAUUCUUGAUCUCAGGGUUGUGAGUUCAAGCCCCACGUUAGG